RNAcentral lists this ribosomal RNA (441 nucleotides) under uncultured bacterium. RNAcentral describes it as "partial 16S ribosomal RNA". It matches the Rfam family "Bacterial small subunit ribosomal RNA", at positions 338 to 795 of the family's 1533-position model. The record is from RNAcentral.
CCUACGGGAGGCAGCAGUGGGGAAUAUUGCACAAUGGGGGAUACCCUGAUGCAGCCACGCCGCGUGGGUGAAGGAGCGUUUCGGCGCGUAAAGCCUUGUCAGUGGGGAAGAAGAAAGACGGUACCCGACCAAGAAGCCCCGGCUAAAUACGUGCGAGCAGCCACGGUAAUACGGAGGGGGCGAGCGUUUUCCGGAAUUACUGGGUGUAAGGGGAGCGGAGACGGUGAGGUAAGCCGGAAGUGGAAGCACGCGGCCCAACCGCGGAACUGCAUUGGGGACUGUUUGGCUGGAGUAUGGGGUGGGUAAGCGGAAUUCCUGGGGUAGCGGUGAAAUGCGUAGAUAUCAGGAGGAACACCGGUGGCGAAGGCGGCUUACUGAACCAUAACUGACGUUGAGGCUCGAAAGCGUGGGUAGCGAACAGGAUUAGAUACCCUAGUAGUC